This is a long non-coding RNA of Ylistrum balloti, 530 nucleotides long. RefSeq lists it as uncharacterized. The record is from RefSeq and is a predicted model, not a curated record. NCBI's taxonomy places the organism in Eukaryota, Metazoa, Mollusca, Bivalvia, Pectinida, Pectinidae. The transcript is spliced from 3 exons.
CGCUAUGUGAAUUUUGAUAAUGACCAAGAUGCAAAAGGUGUAAACACAGUUGAUGAACAGAGUUGUUUUGCAGAUGAAAUUAAAAAGACAGGCAGAUCGCAGACGAAAGCCUUUGGAGGACACGAUCCAAACAGCGUCGUUAGAGUAGGGGCGGUAAAAAGCAUAACGCUCCAGGGAAUGGAGCAUAUGAAGAAGGAAAAUCGGGAACUGAGGGACAGAGAGAUGUGUAAAAUAUGUCAAGCUAAUAAGGUUGUCAUCGCGUUCGUUCCUUGUGGCCAUCUUGUUUGUUGUGAGAGAUGUGCUGACAGAAUCUCGGAGUGUGUGAGCUGCAAGAGUGUCAUCAACAAGCGUGUUCCUGUUAGAAAUGAAUAGACAGAUGCCUGGUGUAGGGUAAUCCUAGGAAAGCUACUUGUUAGGAUCGUAUGAAAAACCAUUUGUUGGAGGAAAAUAAAAUAUCGUCCUUAUAGAUGAUACUAUUCGAAACUGCAAAAAUAUUCUGGAAAAAUGAUAAUAAAAAUACAUCAAAACAA